AUGGUGCCUCCGUCCGACAUGCAACAGAACUUCAUCGACUUUCUCCUGGCAGGGGAGGGCACCGACGUGGUCUUCCAUGUGGGUGGUGAGACCUUCGCCGCCCAUCGAUGUGUUCUCGCGGCCCGGUCUACGGUCUUUAGAGCAGCUCUCUUUGGGCCCAUGAAGGAGGGCACAUCGACGGACACCACUGUGCAGAUAGAGGACAUGGACGCUGCGGUGUUCAAGGCGAUGCUUGGGUUCAUCUACAGUGACUCAUUUCCUACGCUGGUGCUGGAUGAAAACGAGGGCGACCUGCUGCAGCACCUGCUCGUUGCGGCGGACAGGUACAACCUCACAAGACUCCAGGCAAUGUGCGAGAGGGAGCUGUGCGAGCACAUCGAAGUGGGUACUGCGACCACCAUCCUAGCGCUUGCCGAGCAGCACGACUGCAAUGGGCUGAGGAAGGCGUGCUACAAAUUCCUCCAGUGUCCGGACAACCUGAGGGCGGUGGUUGACACGGACGGCUUUGAUCAAUUGUGCAGGGGUUGCCCCUCUCUUAUGAAAGACAUGAUCCUCUCUUAUGAGGGCGGUGGUAGGACUUCAUAUUAA
RNAcentral lists this ribosomal RNA (588 nucleotides) under Triticum aestivum (bread wheat). Its description in RNAcentral is "partial small subunit ribosomal RNA". Lineage: Eukaryota; Viridiplantae; Streptophyta; Magnoliopsida; Poales; Poaceae. The record is from RNAcentral.